RNAcentral lists this long non-coding RNA (355 nucleotides) under Rattus norvegicus (Norway rat). RNAcentral's name for it is "long non-coding RNA NONRATT016126". Lineage: Eukaryota; Metazoa; Chordata; Mammalia; Rodentia; Muridae. The record is from RNAcentral.
UUAUAAGGCUGUUGUUUUAGCAGCCAAUCAUUUUGGAAGGUUUUUCACUGGUCAGAUCACAGCUGCUGGAAAAGUCCCCCCAGCGAAGAAGAGGGCACCAGAUCUCACUGUAGAUGAUUAUGAGCCACCACAUGGUUGCUAGGAAUUGAACCGAGAACCUCUAGAAGAGCAGUCAGUGCUGUUAACCUCUCAGCUCUCUCUUCAGCCCCACUUCCAGUGUUUUUUAAUGAGACAAAUUGAAGGCGUCAUUAAAUAUGGUUAUUUUUAAAUGUCUUGCUGGGUGAUAGCCUUGCUGAUGUUAAUAUACUUAGAAAUUUAAAGUGACGUUUUAGAGCUGAACAUUGAAUAUUGCUUG